GACGUAGGGGGCGAGCGUUGUCCGGAUUUAUUGGGCGUAAAGCGUGCGUAGGCGGCUGCGCAAGUCGGGUGUGAAACCCCGGGGCUCAACCCCGGAACUGCAUCCGAUACUGCGUGGCUAGAGGUAGGUAGGGGAGAUCGGAAUUCCUGGUGUAGCGGUGGAAUGCGCAGAUAUCAGGAGGAACACCAAUAGCGAAGGCAGCUCGCUGGGACGUUACUGACACUGAGGCGCGAAAGCGUGGGGAGCGAACAGG
Molecule: ribosomal RNA, 253 nt
Filed under: uncultured bacterium
Lineage: Bacteria
Description: partial 16S ribosomal RNA
Rfam family: Bacterial small subunit ribosomal RNA
Source: RNAcentral